RNAcentral lists this ribosomal RNA (414 nucleotides) under uncultured archaeon. RNAcentral describes it as "bacterial SSU rRNA". It matches the Rfam family "Archaeal small subunit ribosomal RNA", at positions 459 to 872 of the family's 1478-position model. The record is from RNAcentral.
CAGCCGCCGCGGUAAUACCGGUGGCUCGAGUGGUGGCCGCUUUUAUUGGGCUUAAAGCGUUCGUAGCUGGGUUGUUAAGUCUCUUGGGAAAUCUGGCGGCUUAACCGUCAGGCGUCUAAGGGAUACUGGCAAUCUUAGAACCGGGAGAGGUGAGGGGUACUUCGGGGGUAGGAGUGAAAUCCUGUAAUCCUAGAGGGACCACCUGUGGCGAAGGCGCCUCACCAGAACGGCUUCGACAGUGAGGGACGAAAGCUGGGGGAGCAAACCGGAUUAGAUACCCGGGUAGUCCCAGCCGUAAACUAUGCGCGUUAGGUGUAUCGGUGACCACGAGUUACCGAGGUGCCGAAGGGAAACCGUGAAACGUGCCGCCUGGGAAGUACGGUCGCAAGGCUGAAACUUAAAGGAAUUGGCGGG